ACGCGCUAAGUGGGGAGUUAGCGGUGCCCUGUACCCGGAAUCCGCUAUACCGGGACCGAACUCCCACCCGAGGCUUGUAACCGUUAAGCGAAUGCCGCUUGGGGGUGUUGAUCGAACGGGCCUUGCGCAACGGCAGGCCACCUAACCCCGUCAGGACUGGAAAGUAGCAGCGGUAAGUGGAUUCUCCGUGUGAUGUAAGUUUACCCGAACGUGAGCUUGCCAUCGACAGGAGCUUUUCAGCCAAGGGUCAACGGUGGGUGCGCGU
Molecule: signal recognition particle RNA, 265 nt
Filed under: Candidatus Zixiibacteriota bacterium
Lineage: Bacteria; Pseudomonadati; Candidatus Zixiibacteriota
Description: signal recognition particle sRNA large type
Rfam family: Bacterial large signal recognition particle RNA
About the family: The signal recognition particle (SRP) is a universally conserved ribonucleoprotein involved in the co-translational targeting of proteins to membranes. Archaeal SRP consists of a 7S RNA and homologues of the eukaryotic SRP19 and SRP54 proteins. In most bacteria, the SRP consists of a 4.5S RNA and the Ffh protein (a homologue of the eukaryotic SRP54 protein).
Source: RNAcentral